RNAcentral lists this ribosomal RNA (253 nucleotides) under uncultured bacterium. Its description in RNAcentral is "partial 16S ribosomal RNA". It matches the Rfam family "Bacterial small subunit ribosomal RNA", at positions 524 to 776 of the family's 1533-position model. The record is from RNAcentral.
UACGAAGGGGACUAGCGUUGUUCGGAAUCACUGGGCGUAAAGCGCACGUAGGCGGAUUUGUAAGUCAGGGGUGAAAUCCCGGGGCUCAACCUCGGAACUGCCUUUGAUACUGCGAAUCUUGAGUCCGAUAGAGGUGGGUGGAAUUCCUAGUGUAGAGGUGAAAUUCGUAGAUAUUGGGAAGAACACCGGUGGCGAAGGCGGCUCACUGGCUCAUUUCUGACGCUCAGGCGCGACAGCGUGGGGAUCAAACAGG